RNAcentral lists this ribosomal RNA (242 nucleotides) under uncultured bacterium. RNAcentral's name for it is "partial 16S ribosomal RNA". It matches the Rfam family "Bacterial small subunit ribosomal RNA", at positions 15 to 230 of the family's 1533-position model. The record is from RNAcentral.
GAUCCUGGCUCAGGACGAACGCUGGCGGCGUGCUUAACACAUGCAAGUCGAACGAAGAGCGAUGGAAGCUUGCUUCUAUCAAUCUUAGUGGCGAACGGGUGAGUAACGCGUAAUCAACCUGCCCUUCAGAGGGGGGACAACAGUUGGAAACGACUGCUAAUACCGCAUACGAUCCAAUCUCGGCAUCGAGACUGGAUGAAAGGUGGGCCUCCUAUUUAUUAAGCUAUCACUGAAGGAGGGGG